This 253-nucleotide unclassified non-coding RNA is filed under the name uncultured Alphaproteobacteria bacterium. RNAcentral describes it as "contains 16S-23S intergenic spacer region". It matches the Rfam family "Bacterial small subunit ribosomal RNA", at positions 524 to 776 of the family's 1533-position model. The record is from RNAcentral. Lineage: Bacteria; Pseudomonadati; Pseudomonadota; Alphaproteobacteria.
UACGGAGGGGGCUAGCGUUGUUCGGAAUCACUGAGCGUAAAGCGCGCGUAGGCGGCUUGUCAAGUUGGGCGCGAAAGCCCGGGGCUCAACCCCGGAAAUGCGCCCAAGACUGGCUGGCUUGAGACCGAGAGAGGGUGGUGGAAUUCCCAGUGUAGAGGUGAAAUUCGUAGAUAUUGGGAAGAACACCAGUGGCGAAGGCGGCCACCUGGCUCGGAUCUGACGCUGAGGCGCGAAAGCGUGGGGAGCAAACAGG